Lolium rigidum is the source of this 1434-nucleotide long non-coding RNA. RefSeq lists it as uncharacterized. The record is from RefSeq and is a predicted model, not a curated record. Lineage: Eukaryota; Viridiplantae; Streptophyta; Magnoliopsida; Poales; Poaceae. The transcript is spliced from 5 exons.
CCGCUCCUGAGAUCUGCUCGAUUCACGGGACCUCCCAUACCGGGACGUGCCCGAGAGCUCUGCUCGGUCGCUGUGGGGAUCAGGAUAUUAGUUCAAGGAUCGGUGGUUGUGGGAUUGGCGAUGCUCCUGCCUAGGAGACAGUUGAGCUUUUGGCCCGUUAACUAGAUCAUAGGAAAAAUGCACGGGCUAGAUUUGUUUUGCGGUAUUCGUAGAAUCAAUGGAUGGUUCUGGCGACUAGCAGUUUCCGCCUUGCCAGAAGGUUUUGGGGCUGAAGUUAGUAUUCUGCCACUUGGGAACUUGUUUCAUUUCUAUUUCAGUUUGUUAAAAGCGAAUCUUUUGUCAGUCUUAGGGCCUUGUCACACAAAGUUUCGGCUGGAAUUUGAUGAAUUCAGUCAUAGCCAUGUUUUUGGUCCACGAGGCGGAGGCACAUGAGCUCUCCCACAGUGGAGGUGGCACCGGGGGACACCGCUAGAGCGAGUAGGCAGGGAGGAUCUUCCACUGGAGCGAGUAGGCAUGGAGGAUCUGCCACCGAAGCGAGGAGACGUGGAGGUGCGAGUAGGCCGAGGGGUGGGUUCUUCCAUGGCAAAGUUGCCAUCAAAGAGACCACCUGAUUGAGAAGCCGGGAGGAGCUAGCGCCGUCAGUGUGUUGGGUGUCAGUCUUCUUUGAGUCCUCUGUCUGGUGGAGCUGGGAGAGCUUGCAGUACACAUCAACAACUUAUGAUGUAUGAGCUUGCACGGGAUAAGAAUACAUGGAGAUCUUAGCAAAUAUCCACAGAGAUACCAAAGGGUGGCCACCACUCGUGUUCGAAGCGGCAGCACCUGUGCACUGGUUCAUCUAUAAGAUGAUAUGUAGAUGAACAUCAUCUCAAGCAGUGGUGCUUCUAGUGUUGUGGUGAGAAGCUAUUGAGGGACAUCAUUGCAGCAAGGUGGCAUUGGUACCUGGCUUUUCAAAAUGCUCUCCAGCGGAGGCGAUGGGUUGGAGGGGUGAGGUUCAGCAGGAAUGUCAACCUGAACAAGUUAAUCUUCAAAACGGACUACUCGCUAAUCUGGGUGUCGUUUGCGGAGGCGAUGGGUUGGAGGGACAAGGUUCAACAGGCACGCCAUAUCAGCCUGAACAAGGUGAUCUUCAAAACGGACUACUGACAAAUCUGGGUGUCGUUUGUGGAACUCAAGGGAGUUUAGCAGAGCAGGCAUUACUCCAAUCCCGAAUCACCAACCCUGAACCAAAUAGUUGUAUUAUGUUCCCAUUAUUUUGUGUUUAUGUUAAGAGGUGAACAUGACAGCUCAUAUUACUGCUAAAAUUUGUCUCAGUCGAGCAAACAGAUUGUACAUGGAAUUCCAAGGCUCCCUUUUCCUUAGCUCUAUGUACUUCAACAUGGUUGUAUUCUGGCUUUAUUUGCAAUAUCUUCUUUUAAAAAAAUAAUAAAAUCGGAA